This 820-nucleotide long non-coding RNA is filed under the name Numida meleagris (helmeted guineafowl). Its description in RNAcentral is "lncRNA (ENSNMEG00000000581.1)". The record is from RNAcentral. Lineage: Eukaryota; Metazoa; Chordata; Aves; Galliformes; Numididae.
UGACACUGGGUGACAGUGGGGGGGCACUGGGUGACACUGCGAGGUGACACUGGGUGACACUGGGUGACAGUGGGGGGGACACUGGGUGACACUGGGUGACAGUGGGGCUGACACUGGGUGACACUGGGAGCUGACACUGGGUGACACUGGGGGUGACAAUGGGUGACACUGGGUGACACCGGGGGCUGAUACUGGGUGACACUGGGUGACACUGGGGGUGACACUGGGAGCUGACAGUGGGUGACAGUGACGGUGGCAGCAACUGUAGCUGUGAUAGUGACAGUGACAAGCAGUGACGGUGACAACAGCGGUGACCAUGGCAACAACAACCGGUGACAGUGACGGUGUUGGUGACAGUGAUAGUGACAGUGACAGCGAUUGUAGCUGUGAUAGUGACGGUGACAAGCAGUGAUGGUGACAACGGUGGUGUCUAUGGCAACAACAAUUGGUGACAGUGACGGUGACAGUCUUGGUGACAGUGAUGGCGUUGGUGACGGUGACAAUGUUGGUGACAACGACCGGUGACAGUGAUGGUGUUGGUGAUGGUGAUGGUGAUGGUGUUGGUGACAAUGUUGGUGACAAUGUUGGUGACAGCGACAGCGACUGUAGCUGUGAUAGUGACAGUGACAAGCAGUGAUGGUGACAACAGCGGUGUCCAUGGCAACAACAAUUGGUGACAGUGACGGUGCUGGUGCCGGUGCUGGUGCCGGUGCUGGUGACGGUGAUGGUGACGGUGAUGGUGACGGUGACAGUCUUGGUGAUGGUGACGGUGAUGGUGACAGUGAUGGUAACGGUGUUGGUGCCGGUGAUGGUGACGGUG